This 207-nucleotide ribosomal RNA is filed under the name uncultured bacterium. Its description in RNAcentral is "partial 16S ribosomal RNA". It matches the Rfam family "Bacterial small subunit ribosomal RNA", at positions 568 to 774 of the family's 1533-position model. The record is from RNAcentral.
CACGUAGGCGGCCGAGCAAGUCUGUUGUGAAAUCCCCCGGCUUAACCGGGGAACUGCAGUAGAUACUACUCGGCUUGAGUGCAGGAGGGGAGAGUGGAAUUCCAGGUGGAGCGGUGAAAUGCGUAGAUAUCUGGAGGAACGCCGGCGGCGAAAGCGACUCUCUGGUCUGCAACUGACGCUGAGGUGCGAAAGCUAGGGGAGCAAACG